GGUUGGACAAUUGAAAUUGUGUCAGUUAAGAGUUAUUUAGCCACGACAAUAAUUUUGCUACCUUUAUAUUUUCCCCUUGAAAAAUUUAAGAAUGAGAUGUUCCUGAGUAAACAAAAAUGACAAUACGGUGCCACAGUAUCCUAGAAAGAGCAUUUUUAUUUUGACUUUCUUUGCAUUUUAUUGAAGGGUGUGUCACUUCAAUAUAGCGUGAUAUGGAUUGGCCUCUGGAAUAUGCAUGCAUUUUUUAUUGACCUUUUCAAACAGCCUUAAUGUUUGUGUCUGUUCGAAGUAGUACGUUCUCAAUUCCAACUGAAAGUGUCUUUCUAAUACAACACAGGGUACAUAUAACGUGUUCUCGUUUUCAUAUGAACAUGAUAUUUGUCACUGGACGUUAAACCCUAAUUCGUCAGUAUCAUCCAAUUGGUUCUUUUCUUCUAUUACUUAAUCAUAUGUUGUUUACAAACCAUUCUAAAGAAGUAAACGGAAAGGAACAAAUGCAGCUAGAUUUGGUUAUUUUAAGUUUCAGUUCAUUUUAUUACGUUUAGUUCCUAUCUUCAUAAGUGCAGAGGAGAACUACAGUUGUCUAUGGUGGCCGGUGAAGUCCAUUCGCGUUUUCGCGUUUUCACGUUUUCGCAUUUCAUAUUCUAUAGGGCGAAAACGCGACAUCGCGAAGGGAUAAGGCGAAAACGUGAAAAUGCGAAAUCGCGAAAAGGCGAAAUCGCGAAGUCGAAAACGCGAAAACGCGAAGUCGAAAACGCGAAACCGAUUUCGCGUUUUCGACUUCGCAAUUUCGCGUUUUCGCCAUAUAGAAUAUAAAAGGCGAAAACGCAAAAUGGCAUUAACCUGCCAC
RNAcentral lists this long non-coding RNA (850 nucleotides) under Mytilus galloprovincialis (Mediterranean mussel). The record is from RNAcentral. Lineage: Eukaryota; Metazoa; Mollusca; Bivalvia; Mytilida; Mytilidae.